Long non-coding RNA from Daphnia magna, 373 nucleotides. RefSeq lists it as uncharacterized. The record is from RefSeq and is a predicted model, not a curated record. Lineage: Eukaryota; Metazoa; Arthropoda; Branchiopoda; Diplostraca; Daphniidae. The transcript has 2 exons.
GACGUGCCCUCCACGUUCGGCUGCGCUGUGUGUGUGCGCGAUGCGAGUGCACCUUAUUGCCAUGUUCAGCCGACAAGACUCGUUGAAUUCACGCUCCGUCAAAAAGGACAGACGAAACAAGGGCGUCGCCUUCGCUCCUAAAAUGAAUCAACAAAAGCAAGUGGACAUGAAACGAUUCGAUUGAAACGUCAUUGCGCUCGUUGGCGGCAAUUCACGCGGCAUUCAGAUGUGGGUCGCAAACGAAGAUGAACUCGCCAUUUUGACGCCUUUUUUUUUAAAUCUUUCUUGACCAGUUGGCCGUCGGAUAAACUGCACCGACGCCGACGCAUAUAGAAUACGAAAAAUAAUAAACAACUGGCCAGGCGAAAGUUGG